UCCUCAAUAGUCUAGUGGUUAUGAUCCGUGUCUCUCACACACGUGGCCGGGGUUCGAUUCCCCGUUGGGGAA
Molecule: transfer RNA, 72 nt
Filed under: Mucor hiemalis
Lineage: Eukaryota; Fungi; Mucoromycota; Mucoromycetes; Mucorales; Mucoraceae
Also listed under: 1 other name
Description: tRNA-Glu
Rfam family: tRNA
About the family: Transfer RNA (tRNA) molecules are approximately 80 nucleotides in length. Their secondary structure includes four short double-helical elements and three loops (D, anti-codon, and T loops). Further hydrogen bonds mediate the characteristic L-shaped molecular structure. tRNAs have two regions of fundamental functional importance: the anti-codon, which is responsible for specific mRNA codon recognition, and the 3' end, to which the tRNAs corresponding amino acid is attached (by aminoacyl-tRNA synthetases). tRNAs cope with the degeneracy of the genetic code in two manners: having more than one tRNA (with a specific anti-codon) for a particular amino acid; and 'wobble' base-pairing, i.e. permitting non-standard base-pairing at the 3rd anti-codon position.
Source: RNAcentral